Molecule: ribosomal RNA, 492 nt
Filed under: uncultured bacterium
Lineage: Bacteria
Description: partial 16S ribosomal RNA
Rfam family: Bacterial small subunit ribosomal RNA
Source: RNAcentral
AGUGAACGCUGGCGGUAGGCCUAACACAUGCAAGUCGAACGGCAGCACAGUAAGAGCUUGCUCUUACGGGUGGCGAGUGGCGGACGGGUGAGGAAUACAUCGGAAUCUACUUUUUCGUGGGGGAUAACGUAGGGAAACUUACGCUAAUACCGCAUACGACCUACGGGUGAAGGCAGGGGAUCUUCGGACCUUGCGCGAUUGAAUGAGCCGAUGUCGGAUUAGCUAGUUGGCGGGGUAAAGGCCCACCAAGGCGACGAUCCGUAGCUGGUCUGAGAGGAUGAUCAGCCACACUGGAACUGAGACACGGUCCAUACUCCUACGGGAGGCAGCAGUGGGGAAUAUUGGACAAUGGGCGCAAGCCUGAUCCAGCCAUACCGCGUGGGUGAAGAAGGCCUUCGGGUUGUAAAGCCCUUUUGUUGGGAAAGAAAAGCAGCAGGUUAAUACCCCGCUGUUCUGACGGUACCCAAAGAAUAAGCACCGGCUAACUUCGUG